CAAGAACAUGCAAACACAACUUAUGCAAUACGAUUCAUACAUCAAUUUAGCUUCAUUUAGUUCAUCUCAAUUGGAAACUUCACAUAAUAAAAGCGAUCAAGUCUGGAGUACAAUCUUUCAAUUCCCUAAAUAAAUACUGAAACAAAGAAAUUCACCAACAUUUACCCAGUACUUGAAGGACACACUCUGUGAACUAAGCAAGCACGAACGAAGCAAAGAGCAUGAGUAAGCUUGACAUUCCAGUCCAUGCAACCGUGCUCACUCCGUUUUUAUCUUUUGAAGCUGGGGUGGUGACUGGUGGCGUUUUCCCAGAAGGAGAACUUGAACUAGGAGCAGCCGCUUUACAAGCGGAAACAUCGCCAGGGAUGUUACAGUACUUAGGAAGUUCAAUAGCUUGAGUAACGUUAAUACCGAGAGAAAUCAACAAAGCGGGAUUUUCGUAAAGUUUGCAGAGACAUUGAAGAUCUUUGGUCACGGCUUCUCUUAGUGGGUCACAGCAAGAAGCCGGUGGUUUGGUUGAGUUGAGGAAAGCUGCACAGGGGACAAGUUGAGAAGCACACGACGGCGUUUGUGCCUCUAUGGUGGUUGGCGACAGUAGCGCCGCCGUGAUCGCGGCCGUGAUCAACCAGGAGAGCUUGGAGGAGAGCAUUUUUCUCUGUAUAAUUUUUAACUAUGCACGGAAAAAGUGUUCACUACUUUUUUUCCUUUAAUUAGUGAGGAGUUUUCUUGUGUG
Molecule: unclassified non-coding RNA, 733 nt
Filed under: Hevea brasiliensis (rubber tree)
Lineage: Eukaryota; Viridiplantae; Streptophyta; Magnoliopsida; Malpighiales; Euphorbiaceae
Source: RNAcentral